This is a long non-coding RNA of Vespula pensylvanica (western yellowjacket), 903 nucleotides long. RefSeq lists it as uncharacterized. The record is from RefSeq and is a predicted model, not a curated record. The transcript is spliced from 2 exons. NCBI's taxonomy places the organism in Eukaryota, Metazoa, Arthropoda, Insecta, Hymenoptera, Vespidae.
UCUAGAUUUCGACAUAGAGCGAUAUGACGUUUAACAGCGAGUUCCUUUUAUUUUAUUUUAACAAAGUGAAGUUACCGAUUACCAGCGGUUAAUUUUCUUUAUGAAUAAGCAUUCAGUUUACGCAUAAGAUCCCGAUAUGGUAGGAAAAAAAUCGUGGUUUCUAGAAAAUUGUAAAUCGACAUCGAAAGAGAAGCCACAUGAGGUUUUGUAUGGAAAUAUUGAAGACUAAGAAUUGGUUUGAGACUUUAUUUUAUUCCUUUCCAUAUAAUUUGAGAGAAUAGUUCUUCCUGACGUCCUUUCGUAAAAAUCGAUCAGUUUAUAUAUCUUAUUUUAACUCAAAGAUCGUUCAAUUAGGAAGAAACGAAAAAUCGAAAAUAGAGGAUGAAAACAAGGAGUUGAAAAAAAGAGAGCGAGUCCAAAUAAUGGAAAAUAUAUACAAAUCAAAAAAGAAAUAGAGUUUUAUUAUAGAUAUAGCCUUUGUGAAAAAAAUAAAAAGUUAGAGGAGAUAGGAAUUGAAAGAAUAGGCAUGAUACCCUCUUUUAAAACAAAACAUUGUGAAUUUGUAAAGAUCAAACGAUGUUUCAUCAAACAUUGAUAGAGCUGAUUGUUUCAUCUAUUGUUUAUUGGUUCUUUUGGAUAUAACAAUUUGUCUUGGUAAUUCAAAUUUGGAUCAAUAAGUGGUAGUAGGAUUGAUAUGGUUUUGGAAAUUUUGUGAUAAGUUUUUUAAAAUUAUUAAAGAUUUAGAUUUGGAUCAUAGUAUAAAGUACUUUUUCUGAAUUAAUAAUAUCAGAAUUAUAAUAAUCAUAGUAAAUGUUAGUAUAGGAUUAUAUGAUUUGACAAAGUAACUUAUGUAAUCUUAAUUUAUAACUAAUUCACAAAGUAAAUAAUAAAACGAUAUUAUAG